CACUUAUUUGUUGUCAAAAUUGGUUGCAUCAUAAUCCAAUUCCAACUGAUAAUACAACCUUGAUAAAUGAUUUUGAAACCUACGAAAACCUUGAAUUAGAAUUUUGUGGAAAGUUGCAUUUAGCAACGGAUGAUAAUUAGUUCACAAAUUGUGAUGCAUUUAUUGAAAAUAUAUGGAAUCAAAAUGCAAAGCUCUUGAAGUGCUUUUUUAUUGAGACGAUGUGCACAUGAAGAUUUAUUUUUUGAGGCUUAGAGUGUUUUAUGAUAAUGUUAUUUGUUGUUUUUUCAUUAAGCCCUUUAAAGGCAAUGGUUUGUAAUUUGAAUUUUAA
Populus euphratica (Euphrates poplar) is the source of this 328-nucleotide long non-coding RNA. RefSeq lists it as uncharacterized. The record is from RefSeq and is a predicted model, not a curated record. NCBI's taxonomy places the organism in Eukaryota, Viridiplantae, Streptophyta, Magnoliopsida, Malpighiales, Salicaceae. The transcript is spliced from 3 exons.